UACAGAGACCUCAAGCGUUAUCCGGAAUCAUUGGGCGUAAAGCGUGCCGAUAGGUGGUUUUGAAAGUCUUGGGUAAAAGCCAGAAGCUCAACUUCUGAGUUUGCUUAAGAUACUGCAAAACUAGAGGGGCAAAGAGGUCCUUGGAACGAAUGGUGUAGUAGUGAAAUGCGUUGAUAUCAUUCGGAACACCGAAAGCGAAGGCAGAGGACUGGGUGCCACCUGACACUGCUAGGACGAAAGCGUGGGUAGCGAAUGGG
Molecule: ribosomal RNA, 257 nt
Filed under: uncultured bacterium
Lineage: Bacteria
Description: partial 16S ribosomal RNA
Rfam family: Bacterial small subunit ribosomal RNA
Source: RNAcentral